UCCCUGGUGGCCUAGUGGUUAAGGAUGCAGCAUUGUCACUGCUGUGUCUUGGGUUCAAUCCCUGGUCCAGGAA
This 73-nucleotide transfer RNA is filed under the name Sus scrofa (pig). It matches the Rfam family "tRNA". Rfam says of the family: Transfer RNA (tRNA) molecules are approximately 80 nucleotides in length. Their secondary structure includes four short double-helical elements and three loops (D, anti-codon, and T loops). Further hydrogen bonds mediate the characteristic L-shaped molecular structure. tRNAs have two regions of fundamental functional importance: the anti-codon, which is responsible for specific mRNA codon recognition, and the 3' end, to which the tRNAs corresponding amino acid is attached (by aminoacyl-tRNA synthetases). tRNAs cope with the degeneracy of the genetic code in two manners: having more than one tRNA (with a specific anti-codon) for a particular amino acid; and 'wobble' base-pairing, i.e. permitting non-standard base-pairing at the 3rd anti-codon position. Lineage: Eukaryota; Metazoa; Chordata; Mammalia; Artiodactyla; Suidae. The record is from Rfam by way of RNAcentral.